This 442-nucleotide ribosomal RNA is filed under the name uncultured bacterium. RNAcentral describes it as "partial 16S ribosomal RNA". It matches the Rfam family "Bacterial small subunit ribosomal RNA", at positions 338 to 795 of the family's 1533-position model. The record is from RNAcentral.
CCUACGGGAGGCAGCAGUGGGGAAUAUUGGGCAAUGGGCGCAAGCCUGACCCAGCAAUGCCGCGUGAAGGAAGAAGGCUUUCGGGUUGUAAACUUCUUUGACAGGGGAAGAGCAGAAGACGGUACCCUGAAAACAAGCCACGGCUAACUACGUGCCAGCAGCCGCGGUAAUACGGAGGUGGCAAGCGUUGUCCGGAUUUACUGGGUGUAAAGGGCGUGUAGCCGGGAAGGCAAGUCCGAUGUGAAAUCUGGAGGCUCAACCUCCAAAGUGCAUUUGAAACUGUUUUUCUUGAGUACUGGAGAGGCAGACGGAAUGCCUGGUGUAGCGGUGAAAUGCGUAGAUAUAAGGAGGAACACCAGUGGCGAAGGCGGUCUGCUGGACAGCAACUGACGGUGAGGCGCGAAAGCGUGGGGAGCAAACAGGAUUAGAUACUCUUGUAGUC